GUAGGUACAAGGUUUCCGUAGGUGAACCUGCGGAAGGAUCAUUA
This 44-nucleotide ribosomal RNA is filed under the name uncultured Thelephoraceae. Its description in RNAcentral is "partial 18S ribosomal RNA". The record is from RNAcentral. Lineage: Eukaryota; Fungi; Basidiomycota; Agaricomycetes; Thelephorales; Thelephoraceae.